RNAcentral lists this ribosomal RNA (253 nucleotides) under uncultured bacterium. RNAcentral's name for it is "partial 16S ribosomal RNA". It matches the Rfam family "Bacterial small subunit ribosomal RNA", at positions 524 to 776 of the family's 1533-position model. The record is from RNAcentral.
UACAGAGGGUGCAAGCGUUAAUCGGAAUUACUGGGCGUAAAGCGUGCGCAGGCGGUUCGACAAGUCCGAUGUGAAAGCCCCGGGCUCAACCUGGGAAUGGCAUUGGAAACUGGCGAGCUUGAGUGUGGCAGAGGGGGGUGGAAUUCCGCGUGUAGCGGUGAAAUGCGUAGAUAUCUGAAGGAACAUCAGUGGCGAAAGCGACUUCCUGGACCAAUACUGACGCUCAUGUGCGAAAGCGUGGGGAGCAAACAGG